GACGAACGCUGGCGGCGUGCCUAACACAUGCAAGUCGAACGGAAAGGCCAUGCUUUUGUGGGGUGCUCGAGAGGCGAACGGGUGAGUAAAACGCGAGUAAAAUGCCCUUGACAUUGGGAUAACUUCAGGAAACUGGGGCUAAUACAGGAUAGGAGCUCCUGAUGCACGGUGGGGGUUGGAAAGUUUCGGCGGUUGGGGAUGGACUCGCGGCUUAUCAGCUUGUUGGUGGGGUAGUGGAUUACCAAGGCUUUGACGGGUAGCCGGCCUGAGAGGGUGACCGGCCACAUUGCGACUGCGAGACGGCCCAGACUGCUACGGGAGGCAGCGGGGGAAAAUAUUGCGCAGUGGGCGGAAGCCUGAGGCAGCGGCGCCGCGUUCGGGAUGACGGCCUUCGGGUUGUAAACCGCUGUCGCCUGAGACGAAGCGUGAGUGACGGUAAUGGGUAAAGAAGCACCGGCUAACUACGUG
This 468-nucleotide ribosomal RNA is filed under the name uncultured bacterium. RNAcentral's name for it is "partial 16S ribosomal RNA". It matches the Rfam family "Bacterial small subunit ribosomal RNA", at positions 28 to 507 of the family's 1533-position model. The record is from RNAcentral.